AGCCUGUGGAAGCAGGGAGUGCCCAUGAGACAGGGCACAGCGAAUGCUUCUUAGUAACCUAUACUAAGAAGGCUACAUUUUGGCAUUUCUGUCUCUCCUUUCAAAGUUUUAAUUUUCUUGUCAUUAGGAAAUAUGACACCUCUGGUUUCCACAGUAGUGUGUAUAGUUUAUAUUUCUCUUCCAAGGCUAUCAUCACUUAAAGCCUUUUUCCCCCCCAGCUUGAGUUACUCCAUGACUUUAAAUGGCGUGGUUACUAUUUCUUACAAUGCUCUUCUCCCUUUUAUUUUUUAACUAAUUAAUUAUUUUGCUUUUUAGGCCUGCACUUGUGGCAUAAGGAGGUUUCCAUGCUAGGGGUCAAAUUGGAGCUGCAGCUGCCAGCCUACACCACAGCCACAGCAGCGUAGAAUUCUUAACCCACUGAGUGAGGCCAGGAAUCGAACCUGCAUUCUCAUGGAAACUAGUUGGUUUCUUAACCCACUGAGGCACAAUGGGAACUCUUAUUUAUUUGUUUUUGGACAUGCCCAUGGCAUGCAGAAGUUCCUGGGCCAGGGAUAACUGCUAGGCCACCAGGGAACUCCUCUUCUCCCUUUUAAAUGUCAUUUUAUGCCAGUGGAUAAGUAAGGUGUACACACUGGGCCCAAAGUGAAAGGUCCAGAGCAAUCACUCUUUAGCGCCCAAUGAACCAUUUUCAUUCCUAUUAGUUCUGUGCAAAUAGACUCUGAAUUUUGACUUGGAAACAGAUUAAGUUUUUCCACUCAACAGAGGUUAUUGUAACUUUUCAUGACUGUAUUCUUGGUUCACAGUCCCUGCUUAUAUUUUUUCUUAACCCACAAUGACUGUAAUAAUGGAAAAAGCAAUUAGAAUUUUCAGUUCUCUGGGAACUGAAGACUUUGAUCACAUAUGUCUGCAAGGAAAUGCGAUAUGGGGCCUAAACUGGAAUGAAAUUUCCAAGCAUACUGAGCAGUGUUCCUUGUGCAGAAUUCUCAUGUUAGAGUUCUAAUUAUAUGCACAGGUUCUAUUUUUAAAAGUUAUUAUUUUUCCUGUUAGUUUUUUUGCUUGGCAAGCAGUUCAAAUUAGUACUAACAAUAGAGAUAAGCCAUGAUUCUUAUUAACUGGAGACCUGGCAGUUAGAAGAAACACAUGAUAUCUUUCUGGAGACAAUGAACAAGCUAAAGUGUGUAUGUUAAACUCCCUCGUACCUGAAGUUUACUCUGUGUUUGGCUUUUAUGAGAUCUGCAUUAGAAAUUUUAGACAAUUAGCAAAUAGAAAAAUGACGGGAAAAAUUCCAAUGGCAAAUGAAUCUGAGUCAGUAAUGAAAAAAGAAAUUUUUGAAUAUAUUUUAUUUAUUUUUUUGUCUUUUUAGGUUGCACCCACGGCAUAUUGACGUUCCCAGGCUAGGGGUCCGAUCUCACCCCUGGCCUGGGAACCUCCAUAUGCCGUGGGUGUGGCCCUAAAAAGACAAAAAACAACCCCCCCCCAAAAAAAAACCAUAGUAGCUCAUCCUCAGAGACAUUUUUUGAGCAUGUAAUAAAUGGUGGUGUUUGUUGAAAAAGGAAACUAGCAUUAAGCAAAGUCUUUUUUUGUGCUUGUUCAGGUACUUUUACUUAACACCUUCACCAAUAAUUUCUCUAGAGAAAAAUGUUUUAUCUGGCAUCUUAUUGCCUAACAUAGGUAUCUGACUGGCUUGUUCUGAUCAAGAUUCUUGUUUAAAGAGAAGUAAAAGUUACAUAUAUUUUUAUAUGAAAACCAGCACUUG
Molecule: long non-coding RNA, 1756 nt
Filed under: Sus scrofa (pig)
Lineage: Eukaryota; Metazoa; Chordata; Mammalia; Artiodactyla; Suidae
Description: lncRNA (ENSSSCG00040009839.1)
Source: RNAcentral